This 497-nucleotide ribosomal RNA is filed under the name uncultured bacterium. RNAcentral's name for it is "partial 16S ribosomal RNA". It matches the Rfam family "Bacterial small subunit ribosomal RNA", at positions 28 to 507 of the family's 1533-position model. The record is from RNAcentral.
GACGAACGCUGGCGGCGUGCCUAAUACAUGCCAGUUGAGCGAUGAAGAUUGGUGCUUGCCCCAAUUUGAAGAGCAGCGAACGGGUGAGUAACGCGUGGGGAAUCUGCCUUUGAGCGGGGGACAACAUUUGGAAACGAAUGCUAAUACCGCAUAACAACUUUAAACAUAAGUUUUAAGUUUGAAAGAUGCAAUUGCAUCACUCAAAGAUGAUCCCGCGUUGUAUUAGCUAGUUGGUGAGGUAAAGGCUCACCAAGGCGAUGAUACAUAGCCGACCUGAGAGGGUGAUCGGCCACAGUGGGACGGAGACACGGCCCAAACGCAUACGGGAGGCAGCAGUAGGGAAUCUUCGGCAAUGGACGAAAGUCUGACCGAGCAACGCCGCGGGAGUGAAGAAGGUUUUCGGAUCGUAAAACUCGGUUGGUAGAGAAGAACGUUGGUGAGAGUGGAAAGCUCAUCAAGUGACGGUAACUACUCAGAAAGGGACGGCUAACUACGUG